UUUCCGUAGGUGAACCUGCGGAAGGAUCAUUAUUGAAAGGGAACCCUUCGGGGUUCAACCUGAAACCCUUUGACUUAAUCACCUGUUUCUUUGGCGGGCUUGCCCGUCAGAAGUUUUCUCAAACCCAGUAUAUACGUGUCAUCUGAAAACAACAUUAAAUAAAACAAAACUUUCAACAACGGAUCUCUUGGUUCUG
Molecule: unclassified non-coding RNA, 196 nt
Filed under: plant metagenome
Description: partial contains small subunit ribosomal RNA, internal transcribed spacer 1, and 5.8S ribosomal RNA
Source: RNAcentral